Molecule: ribosomal RNA, 253 nt
Filed under: uncultured bacterium
Lineage: Bacteria
Description: partial 16S ribosomal RNA
Rfam family: Bacterial small subunit ribosomal RNA
Source: RNAcentral
GACAGAGGGUGCAAACGUUGCUCGGAAUUAUUGGGCGUAAAGCGCACGUAGGCGGUUCGUUAAGUCGGAUGUGAAAGCCCUCGGCUCAACUGAGGAAGUGCACCCGAAACUGGCGAGCUUGAGUACGAAAGAGGAUCGCGGAAUUCCCGGUGUAGAGGUGAAAUUCGUAGAUAUCGGGAGGAACACCGGUGGCGAAGGCGGCGAUCUGGGUCGAUACUGACGCUGAGGUGCGAAAGCGUGGGGAGCAAACAGG